Molecule: unclassified non-coding RNA, 302 nt
Filed under: plant metagenome
Description: partial contains small subunit ribosomal RNA, internal transcribed spacer 1, and 5.8S ribosomal RNA
Source: RNAcentral
UUUCCGUAGGUGAACCUGCGGAAGGAUCAUUAUUGAAUGAACUUGGCUUGGUUGUUGCUGGCUUCUUUGGAGGCAUGUGCACACCUUGUCAUCUUUAUAUCUCCACCUGUGCACCUCUUGUAGACCUGGAUUCAACAUUUCCGAGGCAACUCGGUCGUGAGGAAUUGCUUAACCAGCUUUCCUUGGUAGUCUCCAGGCCUAUGUUUUUCAUAUACACCAUAAGAAUGUAACAGAAUGUAAUUAUUAGACUAGAUUGUCUUAUAAACUAUAUACAACUUUCAGCAACGGAUCUCUUGGCUCUC